UUCUCCGCAUGGCUGGGUGGCAGCAAGGCUUUGCACUUGCCCAAGAGACACGUAAUAGAGACCGUGGGUCUUAAUUUCAUAAGCAUCACUGCAUUCGUUGUCCUGUGCAACAUGCUGGGACACCACAUAACUGAUGUUGCACAGGCCACUCAUCUGGAGGUCCGGAAGUAGAUGGAGCGUGACAGCCUGACAAGGGAAGUACCGGCCACCUGACAAAUUUAGGUCCCUGCCAUCCUGACAAACAUGUCUCGCCCCAGUUCCCACAAGAAAACUUCUUGCUUCAUCUGA
Molecule: long non-coding RNA, 288 nt
Organism: Suricata suricatta (meerkat)
Lineage: Eukaryota; Metazoa; Chordata; Mammalia; Carnivora; Herpestidae
Exons: 2
Source: RefSeq, a predicted model, not a curated record